Unclassified non-coding RNA from Cebus imitator (Panamanian white-faced capuchin), 109 nucleotides. It matches the Rfam family "Y RNA". Rfam says of the family: Y RNAs are components of the Ro ribonucleoprotein particle (Ro RNP), in association with Ro60 and La proteins. The Y RNAs and Ro60 and La proteins are well conserved, but the function of the Ro RNP is not known. Lineage: Eukaryota; Metazoa; Chordata; Mammalia; Primates; Cebidae. The record is from Ensembl.
GGCUGAUCCAAAGGUAGCAAGUUAUCUCAAUUGACUGUUCAUAGUUACAGAUGGACCUCCUUGUUCUAUUCUUUCCCUCUUUCCUGCUACUGCACUUGACUAGUCUUUA